RNAcentral lists this ribosomal RNA (497 nucleotides) under uncultured bacterium. RNAcentral describes it as "partial 16S ribosomal RNA". It matches the Rfam family "Bacterial small subunit ribosomal RNA", at positions 28 to 507 of the family's 1533-position model. The record is from RNAcentral.
GAUGAACGCUGGCGGCGUGCCUAAUACAUGCAAGUCGAGCGAACAGAUGAGGAGCUUGCUCCUCUGACGUUAGCGGCGGACGGGUGAGUAACACGUGGAUAACCUACCUAUAAGACUGGGAUAACUUCGGGAAACCGGAGCUAAUACCGGAUAAUAUAUUGAACCGCAUGGUUCAAUAGUGAAAGACGGUUUUGCUGUCACUUAUAGUUGGAUCCGCGCCGCAUUAGCUAGUUGGUAAGGUAACGGCUUACCAAGGCAACGAUGCGUAGCCGACCUGAGAGGGUGAUCGGCCACACUGGAACUGAGACACGGUCCAGACUCCUACGGGAGGCAGCAGUAGGGAAUCGUCCGCAAUGGGCGAAAGCCUGACGGAGCAACGCCGCGUGAGUGAUGAAGGUCUUCGGAUCGUAAAACUCUGUUAUUAGGGAAGAACAAAUGUGUAAGUAACUAUGCACGUCUUGACGGUACCUAAUCAGAAAGCCACGGCUAACUACGUG